RNAcentral lists this ribosomal RNA (226 nucleotides) under uncultured Pseudomonas sp. Its description in RNAcentral is "partial 16S ribosomal RNA". It matches the Rfam family "Bacterial small subunit ribosomal RNA", at positions 1158 to 1382 of the family's 1533-position model. Lineage: Bacteria; Pseudomonadati; Pseudomonadota; Gammaproteobacteria; Pseudomonadales; Pseudomonadaceae. The record is from RNAcentral.
ACAAACCGGAGGAAGGUGGGGAUGACGUCAAGUCAUCAUGGCCCUUACGGCCUGGGCUACACACGUGCUACAAUGGUCGGUACAAAGGGUUGCCAAGCCGCGAGGUGGAGCUAAUACCCAUAAAACCGAUCGUAGUCCGGAUCGCAGUCUGCAACUCGACUGCGUGAAGUCGGAAUCGCUAGUAAUCGUGAAUCAGAAUGUCACGGUGAAUACGUUCCCGGGCCUU